This is a long non-coding RNA of Sapajus apella (tufted capuchin), 206 nucleotides long. RefSeq lists it as uncharacterized. Lineage: Eukaryota; Metazoa; Chordata; Mammalia; Primates; Cebidae. The transcript has 3 exons. The record is from RefSeq and is a predicted model, not a curated record.
CAGAGGUUGUAGCGAGCCAAGAUCCUGUCACUGUACUCCAGCCUGGGUGACAGAGCAAGACUCCCUCCCUUUCAAAAAGAGGGGAUAUGUUCUGAGAUAUGUGUCAUUAGACUAUUUUGUCAUUGUGCCAACAUUAUAGAGUGUACUUAACAAACCUAAAUGGUAUAGCCUAGUACACACCUAGGCUAUGUGAUACAGCUUACUGC